UGGCUUGCAGAUGGACAAGCUUUAUAACAUUGAAACUGCAAACCAGGAAAUUCUGUCAGUUUGCCACUGCCUGCUCUGCUCCAGCUGAAAAUACUUUAGCUCAGGUUCAGAAAUCUUCUCAGUGAGCUGCUAUUCAGACUCAGAAAGUAGCUUGGAGAAUACUCCAGACGUUAGGCUUUGCGAGUUUUUGUUUGUUUACAUAGAAAAGUCUCUUUUAAAUUUCCUUAUUCUUACACUGCAAAGAGACCUAACCUUGAUGGGUCCCAUCUGCAAUGCUCCUCCUGAAAAGAGACAGAGCUGUUUAACUGAACUGACCUAUUUGGAGGACGAAUAGACUGAUUGAAAAAGGUGCCCAGGAAGUCCUGGAACUGAGUCCUGGGGCAAGGUUCUGGAAGUUGGGACAAGAAGAUUCCUAGAAAAGAGGAAAACAAUCACUCUAGAACUGUUAUAAGCAUGCUAACCAGGACUUCAGAGAAAGGAAAAAAAAAGGCUGAACCUCGCUGGUGAUUCAGAUGGAUCAUGAGGAUCUUUCAACAAAGCUAAGUUCCCGUCUUUUAACGCAGUUAUUCUCAUACUUUUAUACUGAAAUAUCCAGAAUAGCAAAUGAGUUAAAUAUGUUUUCUGUGGGGUUCUGUACAAAGAAGAUUUAGAGCUUUAUGAACCUAAAAUAACAUAUCACAAGGAGAAAAUUUACUUGAAGUGGGAGACUUGGCUUAAAAGCAUCUAAUAUAAAUUGUAUAUUAUAUUCAAUAAUACAAAAGCAAUGCUUUAUUUAGAAUGAAUUAAAAUGCAUGCUUCAGACAAAAUGCAUGAUGUUUAGCUUUUGAUUUACUGAAUAUACUAUUCAACAGAUGUUUGAGUUACAUAGUUUGAGGAGCACAGGCCUUUGGUAUUGAUGGCUCCUGUUAAAAUAAAAACAUGUUUUCUGAGAGCAUAAUCAUAUGAAACCAGGAGCACAUAUUAACAUAAAACUCAAAUCACUUCCCCUGACUUUCUUCUUUCAAAUGUAAAGAAAGUGGGAAACAGGACAGAUGAAUUUGAAGAAACAGAAGAGCUCAGGAAAGUUCAAAGCAUGAAGCAAACUCAAAAGUAUAUCUAAAUACCUAGGGAGCACCUUCAAAGCACAAGGUACCUGAAGAUGAAACGGCAGAAGUGAAAAGAAUUGCUCGUGUAGUACAGGGCUAAAAUUGUACCUGAAGCAUCUCUGCUGCUAUCCCAGGAGAAGAAGAGUCGACAGUAGCUAUGGUAAACAUGCAUGGAAGCAUCAGGGAAAACAGAAAUUUAGAGAAGCAGAUAGAGUGAGCCCAAGGCAAGAUAAGGGUUUCUGGGUCUGAAUUUCAGAAAAGCCUGACUAUGGAGAGUGGGAGUUCCUGUUUUCUUUCAGUGACUUGCUAAUUUCAAUUUUGUGUGUGUGUGGCAUUAACAGAUUUUUGCCUAACUUGGGACAUUUUUAACAGUAGAGGAACUCUUCUGUCAGUUCUGAUAUGGUAAUUUUAAAACACAUAUUCUUUAACUGAACAUUCAUUAAAUCACUUGGCCAGGAAUCCAAAUAACAAAAUGUCUGUCAUGGAAUUCUGUGUGUAAUAGGAGUUAUGUAACUUGUUUCUUCUUAGUAGAGAGAAUAAAAAGUAAAGUCAAAACCACCCCCAGAUGACCAUUUUUAGCACUUUCAUUUUAUCGGGAGAGGUGAGCAACAUGCAGAAAAUAUAUAUUCUUGAAUUAAUCUCCUUUGGGUACAGAGAGAAAAGAGCUCAUUAUUCUUCUAACUGGCAACGUUUGAUUUUAUUGACACCCUAACAGUAUGUCAAUUGCUCAGUAUAUCUCCCUAGGCUGUAGUCUUGCAGACUUUCUUUUUUCUUUUUUUUUUUAACUUACCAAUUCUAUGAUGUAUUCCCAUGGAUGUCUCUUUUUAUGCUAUUUUACAAUCUAUUUCUAGAAUAAUCAUGGAAAUUUCAAUGGAAACAACAUAUCACAUUCUCUGUCUACUACAUAAGUAUGUCUUUUUUAUUUGUAAAUAGAUCAUAUUUUGCACAUAAUUAGGUAAUACCCACAUAUCUCAAUUUGGCUUAGGAAUUAUAUUGAAAGAUAGAAUUGCAUAAGGGUAGGGAUUUUACUUUUAAAUUAUUUUCAUGUCUCCAUGGAUUGGCUCUGUGCUUUACACCCAGUAGCUGUGAAACAAGUACUUAUUUAAUGAUGAAUGAAUAAAUAAAUAAAUAGUUAAAUGCAGCAACAAAAAUGUUGGUAGAUAUAUAGGAUUGUAGAAUCUAAUUGCUUAGUAGGAUCAUCAAGUUCUACCCAAAUUUGGUGUGGCAAACAGAACAAUGGUCCCUUAAGGAUGGCCUAGUCCUAACCUCCCAAACCUGGAAUAUGUUACCUUAUGUAACAAAGAGACUUUGCAGAUGUAAUUAAGUUAAUGAUCUUAAGACAGAAAUAUUAUUCUAAGUGAACUCAAUGAAAUUACAAUGAACAAUGUUCCUUAAAAGAGGAAGGCAAAAGUUCAGAAUGAAACACACAGACACACAUAAAGUGGCUACGAAAGCAGAAGUAGUGAGAGAUUUGAAGAUGCUACCUUACUAGAUUCAAAGACAGAGGAAGGGGUUAAAAUCUGAGGAAAUCAGGCAAGGCAGCCUUUCGAAGCUGCAGAAGAUGAGGAAAUGAAUUCUCCCUAGAACUUCCAGAUAGAAACAGCCCUACUGAUGCCUUGACAUUAGCUCAGUGAAACGUAUUUUCAGACUCUAACUUCCAGAUCUGUAGGAGAUAAAUUUGUGUUGUUUAAGCUACUACAUUUGUGGCAGUUUGUCAAAGUAGCAAAAGGAAACGUAUAUUUGGUAGGCAUCAGAAUUUCCUGAGCAAUAUAGUGUGAUUACCUUUGAAAAUUCUACUCAGCAGUCCUGGAAUUGCAGCCUGAAAUUUGAAAUUUACUAAGUGCUCCCACUAUAUCUGAGUCAGGAAUUACCUAGGAAACCAUGAUAUAUUGCAUUACACUAAUUUUGUACUUGAGAAAAAGCACAAUGUUAAAAUCUCAAGAACAUUAAUAUAGACUUAAGUACAAUUUAUCAUGUAAAAACAUAUUUGAAAAAGUAAGCCUGAAAAAAAGAAACAACUGAACUAUUAACACUAUAUUCUCUAACUAUAUAUUGAUUUUCUCCUUUUGCUUUUACACAGCGAACCACAUAUACUUUCACAGAGGGUGAUUUGGAUAAUAUGUUCCAUGCAUUGCUCCAAGCAGAAAUUCUCAAUCUAUCAUUUCUGCUUGUAUUAUUUUACACCUCUUAAAGACAUUCACAUUCCAUCACAGGGAGCCAAAAUCAGCCUGUUAUAUCUCUGUUUGCGAAUACCGCAAUACUUACUUUACUUUCUCCUGAAUAGAUUGUUAGUGGUUUUUAUUAUCUCCUGUAAAGAGUGUGAGAAAUGCAUGUUGCAAGGACACUUUUGUUUUAUUCACAUUAUUCUACUGAAUCAUGCUAACCAUAGCAUUACAUCUAUUUAUCUAUCUAGCUAUUAAACAUAUUCAGAAUACCUAACAACUUUAGGGGCAUUCAGUAUAUAGAAUAUGCUAGUAUUUGUUAUUUUCUAAAAAUUAAUAAUUAAGAAUGUCAUUCUAUUAUUGCAUUAGUGACUUAGUUAAAAUUUAGACCAUUAACAAAAAAGAGAUGAAAAAAAAAACAAAAAACAUUAGGCACUAAAGGAGUCCUCAGCAAUGGCUUUUUCAAAAUGAUAAUUUGGCAUCAUAAAGCGGGUAUUUGGUAACCAUACUCUAUUACAGAACAGCAAAUGGAAUUUAUGUUCUAUUUUCCCAUAUCCACUUCUUUACUAUAAUUUAGCAAUCAUUGUAAUUCUUACUAUAUAGUUAUUUCAAAUUUGAUAUGAUUCUUAAAGAUGCUCUGAUAGUAACAUUUUCUUUAGUGCCUCAUGUCACUCUCUCUCUCUUUCUUUAAAAAAUAAGUUGUCUUUACAGGAACAAAUUUCACUAUAGAUGCCUGACUUUCUCCUUUCAAAAUGAUUAUUGAAACUCAUUGAGAUCUGGCACUCUGUGUUUCUUAUUUUUAUUCCGUACGUAGGAAAAAAAGAACUCAGAGACACACAUGGUUUUAAGAGGCUGUGACUGUCAACUCUGCCCCUUCCUAUUGAAUAUUGAAGCCUUUAUGUUAUUGAAUACAUUGAAUAUAUUGCAAAUUGGAACCCCAUUAAUAGGAUUCUAAGAAGCCUUACUACUAGAUCUGGAUUCUAAGCCUCCUUGCUUGUAUGAUAGGUUAUUGUCUGAGACAUUAAGCAACUAGACCUAUGUUGGGACACUUGCUUCACAAGGUAAUGCGAUGUAUUAAUAAUGAGGAAAGAAAAAUUGCCCUGCUUGUGCUAGUGAGGAUCUUGAGCACUCUCUAUUUUCUCUUCACUCCUGCUUUAGUGGUUGCAGAAAAGAUUUUUUUUCUGUCAGAUGUACAUGCAGUAGCAAAAAAUUGAAGCAUCUUUCCUCACUAAUGAGCUGCAAAAUUUAACAGUUUGGGGGAGUCUCCAUGGAAACUUUUUAAUAUGGUGACCUAUGAGUGCUAAAUGUGUAUGAGGUGACAAUUCCUUCUACAUGGAAGACUGUCACAGAUAGCAUAUGGUAGGACUUUAUGAAAGCCACUAAAAUUAUUUCUGCCUCAGUUUCCAUCACUAUAAAGGCAUAAUCAUAUAAUCUCCAGUCAUAAGGAUUACUGAGAUAAUCUUUAAAUUUGCAUUAAAUUCCUUGGAGAUAGGCAUUAUAUAAAUAGGAAGCUCCAUAUUAAAUGAACAAAAUUUCAAUAAAGAGUGGCUACACUUAAUGGAUACAAUGUGGUCUGAAAUUUAAGUAAUUGACCAGAAAUCAGGACUUGGGACCAAUUACUGGACAUCCAAUUUGUGUCAUUUGAGAGAAAUUGCAUAGAACAUUCUUUCCUCAUUUUCAACAUUUACUUAUUACAUGAAGUAGAUAAUUUAACACUAAAUAAGGCUAUAGUUACAUUUUCUCCAUGUGUCACUGCAGGCUGCAAAAAAAAGUAUUAUAUUAAAUUAAUAGUCAGAAUCUUUCCCCAAAUGAUGAUAAUUGGAUCUCUGAUUGAAAGGACACCAAAGAAAUGGCUAGAGAAAAUAUAGCUCUGUCCUCAGUAUAUAGUAUUUUUAAUAAUAAUCUAUAUUUUUAAAGUAUUACAUCAUGUUCACUCCAAGAAGGGAGAAAAGAGCUCAAAACAUAUCUGGUGGCACAUCUGUAGUCCCAGCUACUUGGGAGAUUGAGGCAGGAGGAUCACUUUAGCCCAGGAAUUUAAGGCUGCUGU
Molecule: long non-coding RNA, 5294 nt
Filed under: Homo sapiens (human)
Lineage: Eukaryota; Metazoa; Chordata; Mammalia; Primates; Hominidae
Description: HSALNT0318889
Source: RNAcentral